UUUAUGGAGAGUUUGAUCCUGGCUCAGGACGAACGCUGGCGGCGUGCCUAAUACAUGCAAGUCGAGCGGAGAAGUUUGAAAGCUUGCUUUCAAACUGCUUAGCGGCGGACGGGUGAGUAACACGUAGGUAACCUGCCUGUAAGACCGGGAUAACAUUCGGAAACGAAUGCUAAUACCGGAUAUGCGAUUUCCUCGCAUGGGGAGAUCGGGAAAGACGGAGCAAUCUGUCACUUACAGAUGGACCUGCGGCGCAUUAGCUAGUUGGUGGGGUAACGGCUCACCAAGGCGACGAUGCGUAGCCGACCU
Molecule: ribosomal RNA, 306 nt
Filed under: Paenibacillus terricola
Lineage: Bacteria; Bacillati; Bacillota; Bacilli; Caryophanales; Paenibacillaceae
Description: Paenibacillus sp. PR3 partial 16S ribosomal RNA
Rfam family: Bacterial small subunit ribosomal RNA
Source: RNAcentral